This 324-nucleotide ribosomal RNA is filed under the name Aulacoseira subarctica. Its description in RNAcentral is "partial Bacterial small subunit ribosomal RNA". It matches the Rfam family "Bacterial small subunit ribosomal RNA", at positions 1 to 354 of the family's 1533-position model. The record is from RNAcentral. Lineage: Eukaryota; Bacillariophyta; Melosirophyceae; Melosirales; Aulacoseiraceae.
CUUGAGAGUUUGAUCCUGGCUCAGAACGAACGCUGGCGGCAGGCUUAACACAUGCAAGUCGAGCGGGCAUAGCAAUAUGUCAGCGGCAGACGGGUGAGUAACGCGUGGGAACGUACCUUUUGGUUCGGAACAACACAGGGAAACUUGUGCUAAUACCGUAUGUGCCCUUCGGGGGAAAGAUUUAUCGCCAUUGGAGUAGCCCGCGUUGGAUUAGCUAGUUGGUAGGGUAAAGGCCUACCAAGGCUACGAUCCAUAGCUGGUCUGAGAGGAUGAUCAGCCACACUGGGACUGAGACACGGCCCAGACUCCUACGGGAGGCAGCAG